GUAGGUGGCAAGCGUUGUCCGGAAUUAUUGGGCGUAAAGCGCGCGCAGGCGGUCCUUUAAGUCUGAUGUGAAAGCCCACGGCUCAACCGUGGAGGGUCAUUGGAAACUGGGGGACUUGAGUACAGAAGAGGAAGGCGGAAUUCCAAGUGUAGCGGUGAAAUGCGUAGAGAUUUGGAGGAACACCAGUGGCGAAGGCGGCUUUCUGGUCUGUAACUGACGCUGAGGCGCGAAAGCGUGGGGAGCAAACAGGAUUAGAUACCCUGGUAGUCCACGCCGUAAACGAUGAGUGCUAAGUGUUAGGGGGUUUCCCGCCCCCUUAGUGCUGCAGCUAACGCAUUAAGCACUCCGCCUGGGGAGUACGGCCGCAAGGCUG
RNAcentral lists this ribosomal RNA (373 nucleotides) under uncultured organism. Its description in RNAcentral is "partial 16S ribosomal RNA". It matches the Rfam family "Bacterial small subunit ribosomal RNA", at positions 527 to 896 of the family's 1533-position model. The record is from RNAcentral.